UCAGGACGAACGCUGGCGGCGGGCUUAACACAUGCAAGUCGAAGGAGAACCACGCUUUCGGGCGUGGGGAGACUGGCGCACGGGUGAGUAACGCGUAGAUAACCUGCCUAUAGCUGGGGGAUAACCACGCGAAAGCGUGGCUAAUACCGCAUAAUGCAGCGGGGCCGCAUGGCCAUGGUUGUUAAAGCUUUCGGGCGGCUAUAGAUGGGUCUGCGUGCCAUUAGUUAGUUGGUAGGGUAAUGGCCUACCAAGGCGAUGAUGGCUAGGGGGUCUGAGAGGAUGAUCCCCCACACUGGGACUGAGACACGGCCCAGACUCCUACGGGAGGCAGCAGUGAGGAAUCUUGCGCAAUGGAGGAAACUCUGACGCAGCCACGCCGCGUGCCGGAAGACGGCCCUAUGGGUUGUAAACGGCUUUUAAUUGGAAGAAGGAUAGGGUUUUAUCUA
This 446-nucleotide ribosomal RNA is filed under the name uncultured bacterium. RNAcentral's name for it is "bacterial SSU rRNA". It matches the Rfam family "Bacterial small subunit ribosomal RNA", at positions 24 to 467 of the family's 1533-position model. The record is from RNAcentral.